This 676-nucleotide ribosomal RNA is filed under the name Sphingobacterium sp. RNAcentral describes it as "bacterial SSU rRNA". It matches the Rfam family "Bacterial small subunit ribosomal RNA", at positions 763 to 1453 of the family's 1533-position model. The record is from RNAcentral. Lineage: Bacteria; Pseudomonadati; Bacteroidota; Sphingobacteriia; Sphingobacteriales; Sphingobacteriaceae.
GGGGAUCAAACAGGAUUAGAUACCCUGGUAGUCCACGCCUAAACGAUGAUAACUCGAUGUUUGCGAUACACAGUAAGCGUCCAAGCGAAAGCGUUAAGUUAUCCACUGGGGAGUACGGUCGCAAGAUUGAAACUCAAAGGAAUUGACGGGGGCCCGCACAAGCGGAGGAGCAUGUGGUUUAAUUCGAUGAUACGCGAGGAACCUUACCCGGGCUUGAAAGUUAGUGAAUGAUCCAGAGACGGAUCAGUCCUUCGGGACACGAAACUAGGUGCUGCAUGGCUGUCGUCAGCUCGUGCCGUGAGGUGUUGGGUUAAGUCCCGCAACGAGCGCAACCCCUAUGUUUAGUUGCCAGCACAUUAAGGUGGGGACUCUAAACAGACUGCCAGCGUAAGCUGUGAGGAAGGUGGGGACGACGUCAAGUCAUCAUGGCCCUUACGUCCGGGGCUACACACGUGCUACAAUGGAUGGUACAGCGGGCAGCUACAUAGCAAUAUGGUGCUAAUCUCUAAAAGCCAUUCACAGUUCGGAUUGAGGUCUGCAACUCGACCUCAUGAAGUUGGAUUCGCUAGUAAUCGCGUAUCAGCAAUGACGCGGUGAAUACGUUCCCGGGCCUUGUACACACCGCCCGUCAAGCCAUGAAAGUUGGGGGUACCUAAAGCAUGUAACCGCAAGGAGC